CCUACGGGCGGCAGCAGUGGGGAAUAUUGGACAAUGGGGGCAACCCUGAUCCAGCGACGCCGCGUGAGUGAAGAAGUAUUUCGGUAUGUAAAGCUCUAUCAGCAGGGAAGAAAAUGACGGUACCUGACUAAGAUGCCCCGGCUAACUACGUUCCAGCAGCCGCGGUAAUACGUAGGGGGCAAGCGUUAUCCGGAUGUACUGGGUGUAAAGGGAGCGUAGACGGUUUAGCAAGUCUGAUGUGAAAGUUCGGGGCCCAACCCCGGGACUGCAUUGGAAACUGUUGAACUGGAGUACAGGUGAGGUAAGCGGAAUUCCUAGUGUAGCGGUGAAAUGCGUAGAUAUCAGGAGGAACACCAGUGGCGAAGGCGGCUUACUAGACUGUCACUGACGUUGAGGCUCGAAAGCGUGGGGAGCAAACAGGAUUAGAUACCCGGGUAGUC
Molecule: ribosomal RNA, 440 nt
Filed under: uncultured bacterium
Lineage: Bacteria
Description: partial 16S ribosomal RNA
Rfam family: Bacterial small subunit ribosomal RNA
Source: RNAcentral